This 503-nucleotide ribosomal RNA is filed under the name uncultured bacterium. RNAcentral describes it as "bacterial SSU rRNA". It matches the Rfam family "Bacterial small subunit ribosomal RNA", at positions 29 to 524 of the family's 1533-position model. The record is from RNAcentral.
AACGAACGCUGGCGGCGCGCCUAAUACAUGCAAGUCGAGCGAGAAGGUGUAGCAAUACACUUGUAAAGCGGCGAACGGGUGAGGAAUGCAUGGGUAACCUACCCUCGAGUGGGGAAUAACUAGCCGAAAGGUUAGCUAAUACCGCAUACGUUUCCGGACCUUCGGUUUCGGAAAGAAAGCAAUACCGUGGGUAUUGCGCUCCUGGAUGGGCUCAUGUCCUAUCAGCUUGUUGGUGAGGUAACGGCUCACCAAGGCUUCGACGGGUAGCUGGUCUGAGAGGACGAUCAGCCACACUGGCACUGCGACACGGGCCAGACUCCUACGGGAGGCAGCAGUAAGGAAUAUUGCGCAAUGGACGAAAGUCUGACGCAGCGACGCCGCGUGGGGGAUGAAGGUCUUCGGAUUUGGUAAACCCCUUUCGGGAGGGAAGAUGGAGUGGGUAACCACUUGGACGGUACCUCCAGAAGCAGCCACGGCUAACUCGUGCCAGCAGCCGCGGUAAU